This 253-nucleotide ribosomal RNA is filed under the name uncultured bacterium. Its description in RNAcentral is "partial 16S ribosomal RNA". It matches the Rfam family "Bacterial small subunit ribosomal RNA", at positions 524 to 776 of the family's 1533-position model. The record is from RNAcentral.
UACGAAGGGGGCUAGCGUUGCUCGGAAUUACUGGGCGUAAAGGGCGCGUAGGCGGCGACCCAAGUCAGAUGUGAAAGUCCUGGGCUUAACCUGGGGACUGCAUUUGAUACUGGGUUGCUUGAAUGCAGGAGAGGAUAGCGGAAUUCCCAGUGUAGAGGUGAAAUUCGUAGAUAUUGGGAAGAACACCGGUGGCGAAGGCGGCUAUCUGGACUGUGAUUGACGCUGAGGCGCGAAAGCGUGGGGAGCAAACAGG